Molecule: ribosomal RNA, 695 nt
Filed under: uncultured Mycena
Lineage: Eukaryota; Fungi; Basidiomycota; Agaricomycetes; Agaricales; Tricholomataceae
Description: eukaryotic LSU rRNA
Rfam family: 5.8S ribosomal RNA (bases 282-435)
Source: RNAcentral
AAGUCGUAACAAGGUUUCCGUAGGUGAACCUGCGGAAGGAUCAUUAUUGAAUACGAUUGGUACUGAUGCUGGCUCUUCCACAGAGCAUGUGCUCGUCCAUCUAUUUAUCUAUCUCUUGUGCACAUCUUGUAGUCUUGAAUGAAACCUCUUCGCAGUCAAUGCGGUUUGGGAGCUUGUUAACCCUUCUCCUGCUUGUUCAAGGCUAUGUUUUCAUAUACACUAUAUAAAGUUACAGAAUGUCUUUUAAAGGCUUGCGCUUGUCGCAGUCAUUAAACCUAUACAACUUUCAGCAACGGAUCUCUUGGCUCUCCUAUCGAUGAAGAACGCAGCGAAAUGCGAUAAGUAAUGUGAAUUGCAGAAUUCAGUGAAUCAUCGAAUCUUUGAACGCACCUUGCGCCCUUUGGUAUUCCGAAGGGCAUGCCUGUUUGAGUGUCAUUAAAUUAUCAACCUUGCUCGCUUUUACCGGCUUGAGUUAGGCUUGGAUGUGAGGGCUUGCCGGCUUCCUUCAGUGGAUGGUCAGCUCCCUUGAAAUGCAUUAGUGGGAUCUCUUGCGGACCGUCACUUGGUUGUGAUAAUUAUCUACGCCAUCUUGACUUUGAAGCAAACUUAUGGGAACCUGCUUAUAACCGUCCUUUUUCAAGGACAAUCUUUGACAUUUUGACCUCAAAUCAGGUAGGACUACCCGCUGAACUUAA